CAAGUACUCCCUCCGUCCGAAAUUACUUGUCAUCAAAAUGGAUGUGUCUAGAACUAAAAUACAUCUAGAUACAUCCAUUUCAAUGACAAGUAUUUUCGGACGGAGGGAGUACAAG
Triticum aestivum (bread wheat) is the source of this 115-nucleotide non-coding RNA. Lineage: Eukaryota; Viridiplantae; Streptophyta; Magnoliopsida; Poales; Poaceae. The record is from Rfam.